Molecule: long non-coding RNA, 429 nt
Organism: Dendronephthya gigantea
Lineage: Eukaryota; Metazoa; Cnidaria; Anthozoa; Malacalcyonacea; Nephtheidae
Exons: 3
Source: RefSeq, a predicted model, not a curated record
UUGCGAAAAAAAUGACAUUAAGUUUAUUUUAAGAAGAAACUACAGAUGUUGCUGAUGACAAACCUGCGAAGAAAGGUUGGAAAUGCUUUGGACAUUCAAAGUGCGGGACCUGCUAUCGAAGUGAAUGUAAGCGAUCGUGCCGGCGAAAAGUAUGCAAAAUAGUUACUUGUGGCCGGAGGAUGGAAUGUCAUGCGCUGAGCGGGUACAGAGCUUGUGAGAUUGUACCUAAAACCUGCCCAAGAUGUCACAUUUUUCGUUACCCAUGUCGAAUGGUCUGCCGCAAUAAAUACGUCUACAAACCGUGCGUCAAACAUCACGGAUAAACUGCCCAUAACCUCGUAAAAUUAUACAUGGUGGAAUUACAGACAAUUGUAGUACUUUAUUAUUAUAGCAUUAUAAAGAUAUAGAAAGAUGACCACAAUCAUUGGA